CAGCCGCCACGGUAAAACGUAGGUGGCAAGCGUUGUCCGGAAUUAUUGGGCGUAAAGGGCUCGCAGGCGGUUUCUUAAGUCUGAUGUGAAAGCCCCCGGCUCAACCGGGGAGGGUCAUUGGAAACUGGGAAACUUGAGUGCAGAAGAGGAGAGUGGAACUCCACGUGUAGCGGUGAAAUGCGUAGAGGUGUGGAGGAGCACCAGUGGCGAAGGCGACUCUCUGGUCUGUAACUGACGCUGAGGAGCGAAAGCGUGGGGAGCGAACAGGAUUAGAUACCCCUGUAGUCCCUGUCUCUUAUAC
This 301-nucleotide ribosomal RNA is filed under the name uncultured bacterium. Its description in RNAcentral is "partial 16S ribosomal RNA". It matches the Rfam family "Bacterial small subunit ribosomal RNA", at positions 509 to 807 of the family's 1533-position model. The record is from RNAcentral.